Molecule: ribosomal RNA, 607 nt
Filed under: uncultured bacterium
Lineage: Bacteria
Description: bacterial SSU rRNA
Rfam family: Bacterial small subunit ribosomal RNA (bases 1-517)
Source: RNAcentral
CCUACGGGAGGCAGCAGUGGGGAAUAUUGGACAAUGGGCGAAAGCCUGAUCCAGCAAUGCCGCGUGAGUGAUGAAGGCCUUAGGGUUGUAAAGCUCUUUUACCAGGGAUGAUAAUGACAGUACCUGGAGAAUAAGCUCCGGCUAACUCCGUGCCAGCAGCCGCGGUAAUACGGAGGGAGCUAGCGUUGUUCGGAAUUACUGGGCGUAAAGCGUGCGUAGGCGGUUAUUCAAGUCAGAGGUGAAAGCCCGGGGCUCAACCCCGGAACGGCCUUUGAAACUAGAUAACUAGAAUCUUGGAGAGGUUAGUGGAAUUCCGAGUGUAGAGGUGAAAUUCGUAGAUAUUCGGAAGAACACCAGUGGCGAAGGCGGCUAACUGGACAAGCAUUGACGCUGAGGUACGAAAGCGUGGGGAGCAAACAGGAUUAGAUACCCUGGUAGUCCACGCCGUAAACGAUGAUAACUAGCUGUCCGGGCACUUGGUGCUUGGGUGGCGCAGCUACGCAUUAAGUUAUCCGUCCGUCGGGUAGGUACGGUCGCGAGAAUUAAACUACAAUAGAAUUAGUACGGCGUGAGACGUCGCCGAACGGACGACGACGAGGGAGGUAGG